AAAUGCGAUAAGUAAUGUGAAUUGCAGAAUUCAGUGAAUCAUCGAAUCUUUGAACGCACAUUGCGCCCGCCAGUAUUCUGGCGGGCAUGCCUGUUCGAGCGUCAUUUCAACCAUCAAGCCCCCGGCUUGUGUUGGGGACCUGCGGCUGCCCGCAGGCCCUGAAAACCAGUGGCGGGCUCGCUGUCACACCGAGCGUAGUAGCAUACAUCUCGCUCAGGGCGUGCUGCGGGUUCCGGCCGUUAAAAGCCUUUUUUUACCCAAGGUUGACCUCGGAUCAGGUAGGGAUACCCGCUGAACUUAAGC
RNAcentral lists this unclassified non-coding RNA (303 nucleotides) under plant metagenome. Its description in RNAcentral is "partial contains 5.8S ribosomal RNA, internal transcribed spacer 2, and large subunit ribosomal RNA". The stretch from base 1 to 104 matches the Rfam family "5.8S ribosomal RNA", at positions 51 to 154 of the family's 154-position model. The record is from RNAcentral.